RNAcentral lists this ribosomal RNA (149 nucleotides) under Trichosporon asahii. Its description in RNAcentral is "5.8S ribosomal RNA". It matches the Rfam family "5.8S ribosomal RNA". Rfam says of the family: 5.8S ribosomal RNA (5.8S rRNA) is a component of the large subunit of the eukaryotic ribosome. Lineage: Eukaryota; Fungi; Basidiomycota; Tremellomycetes; Trichosporonales; Trichosporonaceae. The record is from RNAcentral.
AACUUUCAACAACGGAUCUCUUGGCUCUCGCAUCGAUGAAGAACGCAGCGAAUUGCGAUAAGUAAUGUGAAUUGCAGAAUUCAGUGAAUCAUCGAAUCUUUGAACGCAGCUUGCGCUCUCUGGUAUUCCGGAGAGCAUGCCUGUUUCAG